GCCGCCUUAGCUCAGUUGGCCAAUGCGUAGGUCUCGGGUUCGAAUCCCGAAGGCGGCU
This 58-nucleotide transfer RNA is filed under the name Streptomyces sp. WM6349. RNAcentral's name for it is "tRNA-Ser". It matches the Rfam family "tRNA". Rfam says of the family: Transfer RNA (tRNA) molecules are approximately 80 nucleotides in length. Their secondary structure includes four short double-helical elements and three loops (D, anti-codon, and T loops). Further hydrogen bonds mediate the characteristic L-shaped molecular structure. tRNAs have two regions of fundamental functional importance: the anti-codon, which is responsible for specific mRNA codon recognition, and the 3' end, to which the tRNAs corresponding amino acid is attached (by aminoacyl-tRNA synthetases). tRNAs cope with the degeneracy of the genetic code in two manners: having more than one tRNA (with a specific anti-codon) for a particular amino acid; and 'wobble' base-pairing, i.e. permitting non-standard base-pairing at the 3rd anti-codon position. The record is from RNAcentral. Lineage: Bacteria; Bacillati; Actinomycetota; Actinomycetes; Kitasatosporales; Streptomycetaceae.